AUACGGAGGGGGCUAGCGUUGUUCGGAAUUACUGGGCGUAAAGCGCAUGUAGGUGGUGUGGCAAGUUAGAGGUGAAAGGCCUGGGCUCAACCUGGGAACUGCCUUUAAUACUGUCACGCUAGAGUUCGGGAGAGGGUAGCGGAAUUCCAAGUGUAGAGGUGAAAUUCGUAGAUAUUUGGAAGAACACCGGUGGCGAAGGCGGCUACCUGGACCGACACUGACACUGAGAUGCGAAAGCGUGGGGAGCGAACAGGAUUAGAAACCCGGGUAGUCC
RNAcentral lists this ribosomal RNA (274 nucleotides) under uncultured bacterium. RNAcentral's name for it is "partial 16S ribosomal RNA". It matches the Rfam family "Bacterial small subunit ribosomal RNA", at positions 523 to 796 of the family's 1533-position model. The record is from RNAcentral.